This is a long non-coding RNA of Sapajus apella (tufted capuchin), 293 nucleotides long. RefSeq lists it as uncharacterized. The transcript has 2 exons. The record is from RefSeq and is a predicted model, not a curated record. NCBI's taxonomy places the organism in Eukaryota, Metazoa, Chordata, Mammalia, Primates, Cebidae.
GAGCAGCCUGGGCCAUCUCCUUCACACAGGACGCAAGCUCAGAUUUUAGAGCUUCAGGCCCAAGGACCCGCUUGAGAUGCUCUUGCAGAAUAGGAGUCUGUCGCCUUGAAGAAGGCGUGUAUGGAACGUGCACCUCCGAUGGGAUCAAAUACAAAUUCUGCUGCCUCUGAGUUUGCAGCACAGAAGAAAAUAAGUUCAUAACUUACUUUCCAACCAGGAAGAUAACUUUCAUUAUGCCUCUACUUGGUCCCUUGCUUCCUUUCUUCAUCUCUCAUCAAGUCCUUGUAGCAAGU